RNAcentral lists this ribosomal RNA (897 nucleotides) under Bacillus sp. DFO-AE7-1/2. Its description in RNAcentral is "bacterial SSU rRNA". It matches the Rfam family "Bacterial small subunit ribosomal RNA", at positions 55 to 935 of the family's 1533-position model. Lineage: Bacteria; Bacillati; Bacillota; Bacilli; Caryophanales; Bacillaceae. The record is from RNAcentral.
AUGCAGUCGAGCGGACCAAAGGGAGCUUGCUCCUGGAGGUUAGCGGCGAACGGGUGAGUAACACGUGGGCAACCUGCCUGUAAGACUGGGAUAACAUCGAGAAAUCGGUGCUAAUACCGGAUAAUAAAAAGAACUGCAUGGUUCUUUUUUGAAAGAUGGUUUCGGCUAUCACUUACAGAUGGGCCCGCGGCGCAUUAGCUAGUUGGUGGGGUAACGGCUCACCAAGGCGACGAUGCGUAGCCGACCUGAGAGGGUGAUCGGCCACACUGGGACUGAGACACGGCCCAGACUCCUACGGGAGGCAGCAGUAGGGAAUCUUCCGCAAUGGACGAAAGUCUGACGGAGCAACGCCGCGUGAGUGAUGAAGGUUUUCGGAUCGUAAAACUCUGUUGUUAGGGAAGAACAAGUGCCGUUCGAAAGGGCGGCACCUUGACGGUACCUAACGAGAAAGCCACGGCUAACUACGUGCCAGCAGCCGCGGUAAUACGUAGGUGGCAAGCGUUGUCCGGAAUUAUUGGGCGUAAAGCGCGCGCAGGCGGUCUCUUAAGUCUGAUGUGAAAGCCCCCGGCUCAACCGGGGAGGGUCAUUGGAAACUGGGAGACUUGAGUACAGAAGAGGAGAGUGGAAUUCCACGUGUAGCGGUGAAAUGCGUAGAGAUGUGGAGGAACACCAGUGGCGAAGGCGACUCUCUGGUCUGUAACUGACGCUGANGCGCGAAAGCGUGGGGAGCAAACAGGAUUAGAUACCCUGGUAGUCCACGCCGUAAACGAUGAGUGCUAGGUGUUAGGGGUUUCGACGCCCUUAGUGCCGAAGUUAACACAUUAAGCACUCCGCCUGGGGAGUACGACCGCAAGGUUGAAACUCAAAGGAAUUGACGGGGGCCCGCACAAGCAGUGG